Molecule: ribosomal RNA, 301 nt
Filed under: uncultured bacterium
Lineage: Bacteria
Description: partial 16S ribosomal RNA
Rfam family: Bacterial small subunit ribosomal RNA
Source: RNAcentral
CAGCAGCCGCGGGAAUACGGAGGGCGCGAGCGUUACCCGGAUUUACUGGGCGUAAAGGGCGUGUAGGCGGCCUGGGGCGUCCCAUGUGAAAGGCCACGGCUCAACCGUGGAGGAGCGUGGGAUACGCUCAGGCUAGAGGGUGGGAGAGGGUGGUGGAAUUCCCGGAGUAGCGGUGAAAUGCGCAGAUACCGGGAGGAACGCCGAUGGCGAAGGCAGCCACCUGGUCCACUUCUGACGCUGAGGCGCGAAAGCGUGGGGAGCAAACCGGAUUAGAUACCCGCGUAGUCCCUGUCUUUAUACA